This 207-nucleotide long non-coding RNA is filed under the name Capsicum annuum. RNAcentral's name for it is "long non-coding RNA (CANN_LNC015209)". The record is from RNAcentral. Lineage: Eukaryota; Viridiplantae; Streptophyta; Magnoliopsida; Solanales; Solanaceae.
AAAUCUUUCAAUGGAUCAAAAGGAAAAGAUGAAAAUUGUUCCGAAAAGAAAUUAUUGCAGCAGUAUAUGGAGCCCUGAUUUACCACAUAUGGCAGGCUAGAAAUAGGAAGAUAUUUCAACAAGUGAAUACUAAUGCGGAAGUUGUUACUAUGCAGAUACAACACGAAGUCAGGGAGAGAAUAGAGAUACUUAGAGGCUCAAAGAGAG